UAGUUACAUAAUCUAAAUAAAAUGAUUAAAGCAAAAACCAAAAUUAUUAAUCAUCUUAAGAUAUCACAGUAAGAAUUCGCGCUGGAUCACCUGUACAACGAGGCCCGAAACCAGCGAACAAUCUAAUCGCCGACUAAUAAAAUUUAAUUA
Molecule: long non-coding RNA, 150 nt
Organism: Cotesia glomerata
Lineage: Eukaryota; Metazoa; Arthropoda; Insecta; Hymenoptera; Braconidae
Exons: 2
Source: RefSeq, a predicted model, not a curated record